This 622-nucleotide ribosomal RNA is filed under the name Hygrocybe aurantiosplendens. Its description in RNAcentral is "eukaryotic LSU rRNA". The stretch from base 229 to 382 matches the Rfam family "5.8S ribosomal RNA". Lineage: Eukaryota; Fungi; Basidiomycota; Agaricomycetes; Agaricales; Hygrophoraceae. The record is from RNAcentral.
UCGUAACAAGGUUUCCGUAGGUGAACCUGCGGAAGGAUCAUUACCGAGAAUGCCCUGGGGAUGCUUGCUGGCCCGUAACGAACGGGCAUGUGCACUCCCCGGAGUUUUUCCAGUGAACCCUCACUUGACACCAUGUGCACCUUUUGUAGGCUCGAGAAAUUGGCCUACGUUUACACACACACAUACCACACUUUGAAUGUAUUUUGUUGGCAAAAUAAUUUGAAACACAACUUUCAACAAUGGAUCUCUUGGCUCUCGCAUCGAUGAAGAACGCAGCGAAAUGCGAUACGUAAUGUGAAUUGCAGAAUUCCGUGAAUCAUCGAAUCUUUGAACGCACCUUGCGCCCCUUGGUAUUCCGAGGGGCAUGCCUGUUUGAGUGUCAUUGAAUUCUCAAAAACCCGAACCUCGCGGUUCAGGCUUUUGGAUAUGGAGAGUGCCGGCCUUCAACCGAGUUUGGCUCCUCUGAAAAGCAUUAGCAAAACCCUAUCCCCGAUGGCUUUGUUGGCAUUGAUAAGACCGUCCAUGCCUUUGCCCUCCGGCGGAAAGCGGUUGCUUCGACAAUCGUCUGAAGUGACAGACAAUUUUUAACCUUGACCAUUGACCUCAAAUCAGGUAGGACUAC